This 28-nucleotide small RNA is filed under the name Bombyx mori (domestic silkworm). Its description in RNAcentral is "piRNA piR-bmo-1786525". Lineage: Eukaryota; Metazoa; Arthropoda; Insecta; Lepidoptera; Bombycidae. The record is from RNAcentral.
UCCCGGUUUGUGGUGAGCCUGUUCCGCU